CGAACAGGGAGGUACAGAAUUGCUGGCAGGAUGAUGGCUGUGUGUCUCCUGCAUGGAGGUGUUGCACCAAAUUGCUUUUCUCAAAGAACGUACAACAUGGUGGCAGGAAGACCUAAUCACCCGGUAAAAUUAAAUGAAAUCCACAAUACUGAACUCCAUGACAGGCUGGAAAAGAUACAGAAUGCUGCUACUGUUGAAGAAGCAAGAUUGGCCAUUUUUGAUGCUUCAGAAAGCUUGUCAAUCCUUGGAGCAUUACGGCACAUUAAAGACCUUGAUUUGGUCCUUGAAGCUGCCCAGGAUUACUUUGAGGGGAGAGUAAAAGUAGGACUGGAACAGUUGGCAGAAGGUUUGGAGACAUUUGGCUUAGCAGAGGCUAUCCGUAAGCACCCCUCCGAAUUUGAAGGUCUGUUUUUAAAAUCUUCAAAAUCCUUAGUGGCCAAGGAUCUAAUAAGUCUGUUUCAGCCCAACUUUUCACCACGUGGAAGCAACCGGCGGCGUGAGGAGAACAGAGUUCUUUGCUUUUGGAGAGACUGGCUAAUUAACGUG
Molecule: long non-coding RNA, 546 nt
Organism: Astyanax mexicanus (Mexican tetra)
Lineage: Eukaryota; Metazoa; Chordata; Actinopteri; Characiformes; Acestrorhamphidae
Exons: 3
Source: RefSeq, a predicted model, not a curated record